UCUCCCGUGAGGGAGCAGUCUCGCCUGACAUAUAAAACAGACAACGGGGGUUGCGUUCGUUUCCCCACUUAAGGGAACAGCUCAAGCCACGAACUGACGACGACCAUGCAUCACCUGCUAUGCACCCUCGAAGGCUUCUCCGGUUUCCCGGAGCGUGCAGCAUAGUUUCAAGCCCUGGUAAGGUUCUUCGCUUACCGACGAAUUAAGCCACAUGAUCCACCGCUUGUGCGAGUUCCCGUCUAUUCCUUUGAGUUUUAGCCUUGCGGCCGUACUACCCAGGCGGUUCCCUUAACGCGUUAGCUUCGCCACAAAGAGGGUCGAUACUCCUUAUAGCCAGGGAACAUUGUUUAGGGCGUGGACUA
This 362-nucleotide unclassified non-coding RNA is filed under the name uncultured bacterium. RNAcentral describes it as "contains 16S-23S intergenic spacer region". The record is from RNAcentral.